This is an RNA transcript of Homo sapiens (human), 1477 nucleotides long. It is a transcript of the gene named tumor suppressing subtransferable candidate 2 (pseudogene), with no coding region annotated. The record is from RefSeq and is marked provisional. The transcript is spliced from 11 exons. NCBI's taxonomy places the organism in Eukaryota, Metazoa, Chordata, Mammalia, Primates, Hominidae.
CUCAUUUUUCUCUUGCCGCCACCACGAAAGAAGUGCCUUUUGCCUCCCGUCAUGAUUCUGAGGCCUCCCCAGCCAUGUGGAACUGUUUGAGGCACAGAGCUGUAUAUACAAUAACAGUGAAAUUGAUCCCACUACUAAUUAUGACAAAAAUGAUCUUCCACGUAAACAGGUGGUGAAGCUCCUUAUGGUCCUGACCCUACAGUUCCUGUCCCAUGACCAGGGCCAGAUCACCAAGGAGCUGCAGCAGUUCGUCGUCAGUGGCAGCCCCAUGCGAGCACCCGAGGAAGGGCUGUGACCGUCUAUGACAAGCCAGCAUCUUUCUUUCAAGAGACCUCUGGACCUGCAGCACCAACUCUUCAUGAAGCUGGGCGGCACGCACUCUCCGUUCAGGGCCUGAACCUGAGGACCCAGACACGGAGCGGUCGGCCUUCAUGGAGCGGGAUGCUGGGAGCGGGCUGGUGAUGCGCCUCCGCGAGCGGCCAGCCCUGCUGGUCAGCAGCACAGGCUGGACAGAGGACGAAGACUUCUCCAUCUGCUGGCAGCUUUAGAAAAGUUUGAACAACUGACUCUUGAUGGACACAACCUUCCUUCUCUCGUCUGUGUGAUAACAGGCAAAGGGCCUCCGAGGGAGUAUUACAGCCGCCUCAUCCACCAGAAGCAUUUCCAGCACAUCCAGGUCUGCACCCCUUGGCUGGAGGCCGAGGACUACCCCCGCUUCUAGGGUCGGUGGAUCUGGGUGUCUGUCUGCACACGUCCUGCAGUGGCCUGGACCUGCCCAUGAAGGUGGUGGACAUGUUCGGGUGCUGUUUGCCUGUGUGUGCCGUGAACUUCAAGUGGCAGGAGCAGAACCCGAAUCUUUCUGGGGAUAGCUUCACAGAUCCACCGCUGAGGAGGAAACAGUGCAGAGCGAGCUGCCCACAGUGAGGCCCUGCUCCUGGUUUACAUGAGCUGGUGAAACAUGAAGAAAAUGGCCUGGUCUUUGAGGACUCAGAGGAACUGGCAGCUCAGCUGCAGGUGCUUUUCUCAAACUUUCCUGAUCCUGCGGGCAAGCUAAACCAGUUCCGGAAGAACCUGCGGGAGUCGCAGCAGCUCCGAUGGGAUUAGAGCUGGGUGCAGACUGUGCUCCCUUUGGUUAUGGACACAUAACUCCUGGGCCAGAGGCUAAAACCCCGGGACCCCUGCUGUCCUUCCCACAGCUUCUUCUCAGAGUCUCAGGGCAAAUCCUUUCGAGCAGCGCCUCCCAGUGGCCAGAAGCUGAAAUGAUGGCAGUAGUGCCACCUGGUGAAUGAAUUGGUUCUGUGACCCGGGAAGCUGUGCUUGGCUCUGAUUUCUUUUCUGGAGGCUCGGAAACACUUCCUCUCUUCUUCUGUUCUUCACGCCCCAUGCCCCUGCUAGCGUAUUACUGUUCUGUGACUUCCCUGUGACCUCUGCAGUACUCCUCAUCCUGCGUUUGGUCUCCAGGUGUCACCUUUCUGCC